Gasterosteus aculeatus aculeatus (three-spined stickleback) is the source of this 1650-nucleotide long non-coding RNA. RefSeq lists it as uncharacterized. The record is from RefSeq and is a predicted model, not a curated record. NCBI's taxonomy places the organism in Eukaryota, Metazoa, Chordata, Actinopteri, Perciformes, Gasterosteidae.
GGCCAUGUUGCCCCUUUUCUUUUUGCGACGAGUUGUUGAGGACGAAGUGAGAGUUUCCCUCAACGGCACCGCAUUCCUCGAGUGAUUAAGCCGAGUGCUGUUUGACAGUUCUUCACAUUCCUGCCGAGGAGCCUGCAGAUGACAGCCGAGUGAUUGAAGGGUUUUAUGGUCCAGCUUCACCAGAGAGGAGAAAUCCCUCCACUGCGUCAACGUGAGCUCCACCUGAGGGAGUCUGCAACCACCUGCUGGUGUGAUGGUGCAGCAGCAGCCACGUUGACCUAAAGCCUUUGAGCAAGCGGUCAUCAGGCACACGUGAUCAGAUUAUUGGUUCUGUGAUAUUUAGCAGGGUUUAUUUUUUUUGCAGGGAUCAUGAUAGAAUUUACCAUUAACAAUGUUAGUAAUAUAUGUUUGAGGUUUUAAUGAAAUUAAACUUUCACUUCUCCCCAAAUAACAUUUUAUAUUUAACCCGUUGUAUUGUCAUGUCAGCAGGUUUUAGUUCAUAUACUGAGAUUUGAGAUUAACAAUUUAUUUUUGCUUGUAUCCUAUGAAUCUUUAAAAUAUAUAUAUUAUAUAAACAUAAAAUAGAGGUACUGACAAACACAACGGUAGCUUCAAAAAUAGGACAAAAAAAAAAAAAAAAAAAGAUUUAAUCCGGGAGAUAAAUCCCUCAAAAUACAAGAGUGAACUUACCGUUGAGACGUAUUUGUAAAAACCUUUAAAUAAUCAGGCGGGGGAACUUUACAAUGUACAAGUUUAUUUUUAAUGAACUCUUCAGUGGUUGGUAGUCACAGCACAGCUUGCAUGUAUUAAGCCACACACCUAUUUUACAAGAUGACAGGGGAAGAAAUAAAAAUAAAACAAAAACCUAAAGUCUAAAGCAGAGCAGAUGUCCAUCAGUCCAUCUACGGAGACAUUCUCUUUUAGACUUCUUUUAAUAAAACAUCCUUAAAAAAGGCCACUGAAAUGCAUAAUAGGUUUUCAGAUGCAUGAAUAUUUGACGGUGGCGGUUCGCGUGGCCCUGACUCCUCACAUGGCAUCGACAGUGCAUGUAGACAUUUGUAAAAAGGACUGGUUAGCGAUACCCAACAUAUUCUUUUCUCUCUUUUUCUUCCCUAGUGACCACACCGUAGCUGUAUUACAGCUUAAAAACAAACAAAAAGAAACAAUAACCAGCACUCUUCCAAGUUACUGAAUACAACGAAAGUGAAAUGUAGUGAAGCAGUUAUUUUAUUCAUCUCAUAAGUAUGUGAACACUUAUUUUAAACUGGAAAAGAAAGAAAGAAGAGGCACCAAACACCUGCCAGCCGUCCCGUGUGGGAGAGAGAGGCUCCAAAUGUGUCCAAAGUCUUUAGACUAUAAAAGAAAAAUAAUUAAAAACACACCUUGUUGUCCUCUGGAAUUUGUAUACUUUUAAUAGUAACAGACAGGAACCAUAAACGCAUGCCAUGUGCUGGUCUCAAACAAAUACAUACAGGUAUAUACAGCAUCACUCAGUACCUGCUAAAACAAAGUGAGAAAUACAGAGUAUAAACUGACUACACUACAAACUUAAAAAAAAAAAACGGGGGGGGGGAGAGGGGGGAGGAGGGUGAGCGAUGAAAGCGGUGGAAGAGUGAAAAUCCUACAAGUGAUGACUCGUCAUCAAAGCAU